AUGGAGUGGUCGGGGAGCCUCUCCCGCAACCCAGGCAAGGGCGCAUCACCGCAUGCAGGCACGGGUUCGUCCGCCCGCCGCCGCCGAAGGUUUGCAGGCACGGACUUGUCUGGCCGUCCACCGGGCUCGGCGUUCGCGCAACGUCUUUGUGGCCUGCCGAUGCCGCUCAUAGAGCGCGACGACUGCCCGCGCCAAGUGCUGCGGCUCACUUCGGGCACGCCGAAGCACUCCGGAUGGGUGUUCUACAAAUGCGAAAACGACGGGGACGAUGAAUGCUCAUUGUGGUUUUGGGAAGGCCAAUACAUUGAUUUGUUGAUAGAAAGAAACUUAAUAGAUGUCAGUGCACUCCUUAGUACAAUCGAAGGCAAUGAUGCGGUAGCAUGUGCAACUAGAGGGGAAGCAACGUCUACUUCUUUGAAACCAGAGAUGAAGAAUGAAGAAAGCAAGAUCAAGAAUCCGUAG
This 462-nucleotide ribosomal RNA is filed under the name Triticum aestivum (bread wheat). Its description in RNAcentral is "partial small subunit ribosomal RNA". The record is from RNAcentral. Lineage: Eukaryota; Viridiplantae; Streptophyta; Magnoliopsida; Poales; Poaceae.